This 255-nucleotide ribosomal RNA is filed under the name uncultured bacterium. Its description in RNAcentral is "partial 16S ribosomal RNA". It matches the Rfam family "Bacterial small subunit ribosomal RNA", at positions 524 to 776 of the family's 1533-position model. The record is from RNAcentral.
UACAGAGGUCUCAAGCGUUGUUCGGAUUCAUUGGGCGUAAAGGGCGCGUAGGCGGCCACCGCAAGUCAGUUGUGAAAUCUCUGGGCUUAACCCAGAACGGUCAGCUGAUACUGCGGGGCUAGAGUGCAGAAGGGGCAACUGGAAUUCUCGGUGUAGCGGUGAAAUGCGUAGAUAUCGAGAGGAACACCUGCGGCGAAGGCGGGUUGCUGGGCUGACACUGACGCUGACAGCGCGAAAGCUAGGGGAGCGAACGGG